This is a long non-coding RNA of Mercenaria mercenaria, 857 nucleotides long. RefSeq lists it as uncharacterized. NCBI's taxonomy places the organism in Eukaryota, Metazoa, Mollusca, Bivalvia, Venerida, Veneridae. The transcript is spliced from 3 exons. The record is from RefSeq and is a predicted model, not a curated record.
AAAAUACAGUAGUUCAUAAGGAUUAAAUGUCAUAUAGUCAAAGAAAUUGUUAUGAAAUUAUGCUCAUAUAUGUAAACUCAUCAUAUUAUAAACUGAAUUAGUCUAUGCCUUUGAUAAUCCAGGCAGUGAUUAAUUAUCUAGCUUUUACAGCCAGUUAAUACACUGCUGUUCAAUGUGUACUGUUGUAUAAAUGAACACACACAGAUAGCUGAUAACAUCUGGAGAUUCUGACCAAGAUAAAGACCAAUGGAAAUGCAGGCUUCUGACGCCGUUUUACACAUGUAGCCCCAAGAAAUAAUCCCAAUACUUUUUUAUUUUUUUCUGUGAUCUUUGCAAAUUCUGUGAGCAAAUAAAUGGAAAAAUUCUCAUGAACUGUAUAUAUAGUUUAAGAACAUUCCAGAUAUUCCCUUCAGUAACUAUACUGUUCCAAGGAAUAUUGCUCAUGAAUACAACAAUUUGAAUGUAAACAGGAAGUGCUUUGUCUAGAUGUUGGAGGCAAAAUGGAAUGGAGCUAAAUAAUUUUGUACCUUGAAAUUCUAAAAUGCUUUUAGAGAGAUAUCAGAUGCAAGAGUGUACAUAUUUAGUUAUUAGAAGCAUUGUCUUCAACAUGUAUGAAUGAAAUGAUGUAAUCAGAGAUAUUUGAUGGCUUUAGUGACUAUGCUACUGGAUGAAAUGAGAUCACAGACAGAGACCCCAUCAAACACUAAACUAAAUGGCUGGGAUGAGGUUCCUGACCCUGGUGAUGGUUUUAGCAAAGCUAUAAGAGACAUUCUAGUGCCACCUAUAGUGAGCCAACAUAACUCCAAAAAUGAUUUUGUUGUAUUCAUAACUUUCUAUUAAAUCAUUUUUAUAUUUAA